GUGUCAGCCGCCGCGGUAAUACGUAGGUGGCAAGCGUUGUCCGGAUUUACUGGGCGUAAAGGGAGCGUAGGCGGAUUUUUAAGUGGGAUGUGAAAUCUCCGGGCUUAACCCGGAUGCUGCAUUCCAAACUGGAAGUCUAGAGUACAGGAGGGGAAAGUGGAAUUCCUAGUGUAGCGGUGAAAUGCGUAGAGAUUAGGAAGAACACCGGUGGCGAAGGCGACUUUCUGGACUGUAACUGACGCUGAGGCUCGAAAGCGUGGGGAGCAAACAGGAUUAGAAACCCUCGUAGUCC
RNAcentral lists this ribosomal RNA (292 nucleotides) under uncultured bacterium. Its description in RNAcentral is "partial 16S ribosomal RNA". It matches the Rfam family "Bacterial small subunit ribosomal RNA", at positions 505 to 796 of the family's 1533-position model. The record is from RNAcentral.